This is a long non-coding RNA of Haemorhous mexicanus (house finch), 429 nucleotides long. RefSeq lists it as uncharacterized. The transcript has 3 exons. The record is from RefSeq and is a predicted model, not a curated record. NCBI's taxonomy places the organism in Eukaryota, Metazoa, Chordata, Aves, Passeriformes, Fringillidae.
UGCGCGGGCCCCGCGGCGGCCCCGGCUCCUCCCGCGGGCGCCAUUUCCGCGGCGCGCGCUGAGGCGGCGCUGAGGGCGAGGGAGCCGCGAUCUCCGCCCUCCAUCGCGCAGUGAAUCACAGCAUGGAAGACACUGAACCACUCCCAUUAAAAACCCUACACCUUCACCUUCAAGGCUCUGCAGACCCUGGGUUUCAGAAACAAAGGAAACCACCUCCAUUCGCAGAACCUCCAUUCAGCCAUGCUCACUUGGUAACCUGCCAGUAAGGAGUAACAAGUGAAACUCUUAGCAAGAUCUUUGGAUAUGACUGCAUUUAGCAAACAGUACCAACGUGCACUAUCAGCUUCCAACAUUUCUGUCCUUCCAAACCUUUAUCAAAUCUUUCAUUGAAGAAACCAGAAGUUGUCCAUGAGAAGUGAGAAGUUACAG